AUUGAACGCUGGCGGCAGGCUUAACACAUGCAAGUCGAACGAGUGGCGGACGGGUGCGUAAUGCUUGGGAAUCUCGCUUAUGGAGGGGGAUAACUACUGGAAACUGUAGCUAAUACCGCGUACCAUAGGAUGAGCCCAAGUGGGAUUAGGUAGUUGGUGAGGUAAAGGCUCACCAAGCCGACGAUCUCUAGCUGGUCUGAGAGGAUGCCCAGCCACAGUGGGACUGAGACACGGCCCAGACUCCUAAGGGAGGCAGAAGGGGGGAAUAUUGCGCAAUGGGGGCAACCCGGACGCAGCCAUGCCGCGUGUAUGAAGAAGGCCUGCGGGGUGUAAAGUACUUUCAGCGGGGAGGCGUUACCCGCAGAAGAAGCACCGGAUAACUCCGUGCCAGCCGCCGCGGUAAUAC
RNAcentral lists this ribosomal RNA (406 nucleotides) under uncultured bacterium. Its description in RNAcentral is "partial 16S ribosomal RNA". It matches the Rfam family "Bacterial small subunit ribosomal RNA", at positions 29 to 526 of the family's 1533-position model. The record is from RNAcentral.